Molecule: ribosomal RNA, 105 nt
Filed under: Carlito syrichta (Philippine tarsier)
Lineage: Eukaryota; Metazoa; Chordata; Mammalia; Primates; Tarsiidae
Source: RNAcentral
GUCUAUGACCACACCACCCUGAAUGUGCAUGAUCUCUUCUGAUCUCAGAAGCUAAGCAGGGUUUGGCUUGGUUAGUACUUGGUGGGGAGACACCUGCUUCAGACC